Molecule: long non-coding RNA, 730 nt
Filed under: Salvia miltiorrhiza (redroot sage)
Lineage: Eukaryota; Viridiplantae; Streptophyta; Magnoliopsida; Lamiales; Lamiaceae
Description: long non-coding RNA (SMIL_LNC001351)
Source: RNAcentral
CUUAAUCUUUCAAAUUAACUAUCAGUAAACAAUUUCAGCAAAUUGCAAACAAUGUCAGUGAAUGGAUAAAGAAAUUCAACAAAUUUAGCAAAUUUCAAACAAAAUCAGUAGAUGGUAAAGAUUUUCAACAAAUUCAACAAAUUUCGAACAGAAAUUCAGUGAGAAGCCAUAGCCAAGAAGUGAGAAGCCAUAGCCAAGAAAGUGGAGCAGGAGAUGAUUUUGAGAGAAAUUUCCCAGAAUCCAUUCUCAUUUCUUUGCAUCUCUCAAACCCCAUUUUUCAAACAAAUUCGACUCCAGUAGUAAAUGGAUUUCACCAACAAAUUUAAGAAAUUCCAAAAAUAAAUUUCAGCAACAAAUUUAGGAAAUUCCAGCAACAAAUUCAACAAAUCGAUUCCAACAACAAAUUUAGGAAAUCCGAGCAACAAAUUCAGGAAAUUCCAGCAACAAAUUCGAACAAAUUCAACAAAUCAAUUCUAGCAACAAAUUUAGAAAAUUCCAAACCAACGGAGGCAGAGCGCGACUAGGAGCGGAGCAGAGGAGGAGUCGGCGUCGCAGACAACGGCGAGAGCGAGUUCCAGUGGUGCGGAGCGGAGCGCGUCGACUGGGAGUGGAGCGGAGCGCGUCGUGCUCAGAGGAAGGCGGCGCCUUAGGGUUUCGAGCUCAGAGGGAGCGAGGCAACGAGAUAAGUGAGGCGGUGCUUUCAGACGAUGACGAAGAAGGAGAGAGACGC